GAUGAACGCUGGCGGCGUGCUUAACACAUGCAAGUCGAGCGAAGCGGUUUAAAUGAGACUUCGGUGGAUUUUAAACUGACUGAGCGGCGGACGGGUGAGUAACGCGUGGAUAACCUGCCUCACACAGGGGGAUAACAGUUAGAAAUGACUGCUAAUACCGCAUAAGCGCACAGUACCGCAUGGUAUAGUGUGAAAAACUCCGGUGGUGUGAGAUGGAUCCGCGUCUGAUUAGGUAGUUGGUGGGGUAACGGCCCACCAAGCCGACGAUCAGUAGCCGACCUGAGAGGGUGACCGGCCACAUUGGGACUGAGACACGGCCCAAACUCCUACGGGAGGCAGCAGUGGGGAAUAUUGCACAAUGGGCGAAAGCCUGAUGCAGCGACGCCGCGUGAGUGAAGAAGUAUCUCGGUAUGUAAAGCUCUAUCAGCAGGGAAGAAAAUGACGGUACCUGACUAAGAAGCCCCGGCUA
This 469-nucleotide ribosomal RNA is filed under the name uncultured bacterium. Its description in RNAcentral is "bacterial SSU rRNA". It matches the Rfam family "Bacterial small subunit ribosomal RNA", at positions 28 to 499 of the family's 1533-position model. The record is from RNAcentral.